Molecule: ribosomal RNA, 303 nt
Filed under: uncultured bacterium
Lineage: Bacteria
Description: bacterial SSU rRNA
Rfam family: Bacterial small subunit ribosomal RNA
Source: RNAcentral
UCGGGAAUAUUGCGCAAUGGAGGAAACUCUGACGCAGUGACGCCGCGUAUGGGAAGAAGGUUUUCGGAUUGUAAACCAUUGUCAUUAGGGAAGAAGAAGUGACAGUACCUAAGGAGGAAGCUCCGGCUAACUAUGUGCCAGCAGCCGCGGUAAUACAUAGGGAGCGAGCGUUAUCCGGAUUUAUUGGGUGUAAAGGGUGCGUAGACGGGAAUACAAGUUGGUUGUGAAAGCCCUCGGCUUAACUGAGGAACUGCAACCGAAACUAUAUUUCUUGAGUACUGGAGAGGAAAGUGGAAUUCCUAG